CCAGCUACUUGGGAGGCUGAGGCAUGAGGCAUAGCCAGGAGAAUUGCUUGCCCUCAGGAGUUUGAGGCUGCAUUGAGCUAUGAUGACACCACUUAAUUCCAGUUAACACAACAGAGACCCUGCCUAGGAAAAAAUUUAAAAGAGAAAACUACAAAAGGGGAAAAUGAACACAACUACAAGGGGAAAUCUACCAACAUAAUAGGCAUUUUCAACAUACCUCUCUCAGUAAUUAAUAGAUCUUGCAGAGACGGAAUUAUGAAGAUUAUUAAGGACAUAGAAGAUUUAAGUAGUACAACUAAUCAGUUUGAUCUGAUGGAUACACACACACACACACACACACACACAUACAUAUAUAUAAAACAUGUUGUACCCUUCUGUAGGAAAACAAGCAUUUUUUGCAAACCAAAUCUAACAGUGUAUUCAAAGUAUAACAAAUGACCAAAAUGGAUUGAUCUCAGGAAGACAAGAUUGGUUUUUUAAUGUAAUUAAGAAAUGCAGUUUAUAAUGGGAACAAAAAAAUAUACCCUAAGAAUAAAUUUUAAUAAAAGGAGGAAAUGAUUUUAAAAACUUAAUGGACCUAAAUAAAUGUAGAGGAUGUAAUGGAUAACACUCUAUUACCUAAAUCUCAACUUUUUCUCCAAAUUGCAAUUUCAAUAAAAUUCCCAAUGAUUUUCACUGUGGAACCUGAGAAGUUGAUUCUUGAAUAUAAAUGGAAGAACAAAGGGCCAAGGCUAUCCAAGACCCUUCUGAAUGGGUUGUGAGGGGAACUAGCACUACCAGAUUCUAACACUUACUGCCAAAGAUGGUGAUUAAGCAAUGACUUUGGAGUAGGGAAUAAUUUUAUAAAUAAGAUAGAAAAUGGAGACUAUCAAUUAAAAUGUAAGUAAUUUGGCUACAUUGAUCCCAAGUACUUUUAUUUACCAAGCAUGCCAUAGGGUGAAAAGAGAAGCCACAUCUGGAAUAAGAUACAAAUAUUCGCAAUAUAUACAUAACUGCCAAAGAGCACCUGAAUGCAAAUCAGCAAUGAAAACAAAUCAGGAGAGAUGGACCCCAAACACAAGCAGUCAUUUCACAGAAGAAACAGAAAUGGCCCAUCAGUGUAAAAAGAUGUUCAGUCUCAUUAGUUAUCAGGAAAUGCACAUUAAAACCAUGGAUACCAUUUCCUCGCUAACAAGUUGGCAGAAAUUAUGGGAAGUCUGAGAAUAACAAUCUGAGAGAUUAUGACAACAAACCUUCACCUGCUGUUGUUGGCAUGUGAAUCUGUACUACUUUGGAAAACAGUAUUAUCUAAUGAAAUUGAAGACAGGCAUCUCUCUUAUAGCCCACUAUUUACACUUAGAAAAACUUAUGUGCAUGUGUACCAGGAAACAUGUACAGGAAUGUUUAUAACAGCAUUAUGUGUAAUAAUUGUAAGGAAAGGGGGGAUCCAAAUGCCCAUCUACUGAAUAGUGAAUAAAUAAAGUGUAUUUAUGCAGUGGAAUUCUUUAGAGUGGUCAAGGCAUCAUAACACUGUGGGCUUCAAAAUGGAUGCAUCUCAGAACUGUCAUAUCAAGUGAAAGAAGCAAGUCAGAAGAAUAGAGCCAGCCUGGGUACCUUUAUAUAAAGUUCAAAACCAGGAAAAACUAAGUAUAUUGUUUAGAGACUCAUACACAAGUAGUAAAGCUGUAAAGGAAAGACAGUUAUCAAUGUUCAGGAACAUAGUUUCUUCAAGGGAGGGUAGUGGAGGGGCAUGAGAAUAGAGGGGAGAACAGGGCUUGUAAACACUUGCUAAUACAAACCUUUGGACCAUUCUAAACAUGCCAGUUCUCUGAGUUAAUGUAUGUUCUGUGCAAAGCCAAUUCAGAUAACCAACAGUAUUUGUUUAUAUAAUCUAAAAACUUAUGGAAGUAUGAACAGAUGAAAAUAGGAAACACUCCAUUGAAAGUGAAAGAAAUGGAAGGAACUUGCUGUACCAAAAAAUACAUCACUUUUUAAGUGCAAUUAAAUUAAAGCAGUUAUGCUUUAAACAGACAGUCAAUGGAAAGGUUUAGAAAAUAGAAAAGAACUCGCAUUUAGAAUUUAGAGUACACUAAAGGCAGUUUUUGAAAUUGUGCUGUUCAUGGUGAAUUAUUUAAUAAAAGAUGCUGGUGUAAGUAGAGAACAUGAAACUGAUUCCUGUCAUAUCAUUCACCAAGAGAAAUUCCAGGUGGACUAAAAGAAUGUCACACAAACUAGAAAAUAUUUUUUUCUUGGGGUUGGAAAAGUUCGUUCUAAGGACACAAGCAAUGAAGCAGAAAACCCUAUGUAAACUCACCUGCCUUUAAUGCUGUAGUGUGUACCACUGUGUGUGUGUAUGUGUGUAUACAUAGACACAUAUAUUUUAAAAUGUUUAAAUUUGAACAUAAUGUUACUAAUAAUAUAAAACAAAAAUAGAAAAUCAAAAAGAUGAGGUAAAAGUUUAAAAAUAUUGUUCGUGUAUUUGUGGUUAAAAAACCUUUGCUCGCUCUUAAAAAUUUUUCUUUUAGAGAGUCAUGAUUAAAAAUUCUUGUCAUUUUUGAAACUCCUAGUUUUAAUACUUUAUAAAAACAACUUAUUGUUCUUGUCUUAAGGUAAGUUUAUUUUAAUGCUUGGUUUUAAUGACUAUUGUAGCUGAAAAAGUCACUUCAUUAAGAUCUGUGGAUCCAAAUAUGGCUGUGCUUACUGAAAACAUUUUUGAGUUUCAUCCACCAAUUUUGCAAAAGUGUUUGUUGAAAUUUUUAUAAUAAAUUUUCAUACUUUCCAGUGUCAGUAACUUGUUUUUGCUGAAUAGUGUUGCAUUUUUAUUUUGCUAACAGAUGGGUUCAAAACCUGCUGCAACUUAUUUUUGAAUUUCAUUUCCCAAGUUUGUACACUUUGAAGAGCUGCAAUGAGCUGAGAUCUUGCCACAGUGCUCCAGCCUGGUGACAGAGUGAGACUCCAACUCAAAAACAAACAGUUUGGGUACUUAUCACCUCACAGAAGUCCCAAAGUUGGGCAGUUCCAGGGCUGAUAAAUACAAUAGCUAAUUGAUGUCAGGACCUGGGUUUCUUCCUACUUUCUGCCCUGCCAGCCUCAGUAUGUUCACUUUUUCCUCAGUGUCGCUUCCCUCAAGGUCUUUACUUGACUGCUGCAGUUGUCAGAAUGACAACAACCACUUGAAGGAGAGGGCCUCUUCCCCAGCAUGUUUUUUUUAAGAGCAGUGACACUUCCUGAAGCACACCAGCCUUUUUCCCUUCAGUUUUCAUUGAGGAGGAGAGUUGGGAUAACUAGGAAAGAGAGUGGGACUGCCAGGGUAGACUUAGACUAAACAGAUCGCCCCUCCUGGGCGCACAUUGGCGUAAGGAGGUGCAGCUGUCUGAAUAAAGCCUGGUCUCAGGACGGUGAAAUGGAAGGAUGGCUGCUGAUGACUCGUAGUUGCCUGAGGCUGCUACAGGGGUCUAUGACAGCUGUUCAUCGGAAGCCUCUGGGAGAUGGGAAAACCAAACUUUGACUCACAUCAACUUUGUUUUUACACACCAGUCUUUCCAUCUGCUCUUCAGGAUGAACCAGUGUGCUUUGAUUUGAUGGUCAUGUUAGACCAUUUCUUCUAGAAUCUAUAAACAGCACAGAAUAUGGUCACCCUCCUGACUAGAAUAGCCAGGGAGCUAUGAUUAAAGAAGACAAAGAGCUUGUACUAACAUAGGCUAAAGAAAAAGUCCCUGGCUGCAAAGGAAAAUUUUGUCUUGGGUAUGUCCAGUUCCACCCAUAACAAAGCUAAGCAGGUUGGUGGUAUGUAAUAAGGUGUUGGGAAGCAAAAAUAGGGCCAUGCCAGUUGAGACAGUGUUUGGUGAACAAUCUUGUUCCUAAAAGAAGACAGGUCAGAGCGCACUGGAGAAAGGAAAUAGAUGUCAUCUGAGCACAGGUGACAGUGACAACUGCUCUUCAUGGGAUACCUGCCUGCGUGGCAGGUGCUUCAUGUACCUCUUAGGAACAAUCCAGUGAGGCAGUGAUAGCACCACUCUACAGAUACGUGGUGAGCGGUUCUGACGCAACCCCAGUGACUGCCACCCCCUCAUUCAAACCCUUAUGUAGUCCCCUCACCUUGAGUAUGGGUGGACCCAGCAACUUGCUUCUAAAAAAAAAAGGAUGUGGCCAAAGUGAUGGGCUGUCACUUCUAUGAGUAGGUUACAGAAGACUCACAUCAUUUUGUUGGUGUUCUCUCCUGGGCUCUCACUUGAUAUGACAGAGAGGGCCACCUGGCAAGGAACUGAGGGUGGCAUUCAGCCAACAGCUACCAAGGAACUGAGGCCUUCAAUCUAACAGCCCAAGAGUAUCUAAAUCCUGCUGGCUCUGGGUGUCUCGAGUGUGGCUGAAUCAGGCUGAAGCAUGGGCCAGUUUGUUUUGUAGAUGAGACUGGAGGUCAGAGUGGCUCAGUGACAGUAAUUCUGUCUGAUCCAGAUUCCAGGAUGAGCUUCUAUAAUUCAGUCACCUCCCACCAGUUCCCUCCCACAACACAGGGGAAUUCAAGAUUAGAUUUGGGUGGGGACACAGCCAGACCAUGUCAAGUGACUAAUCAUCAUUUGCUGUUCAGAGAGAAGGAGGUUCAGGCAAAGGUCAAAUAGACUCAGGGCAGCUGAACACUACUGCAAGGAGAGAUCAUCCUGGAAUCUGGAUCAGACAGCAUUUUGACUCCACCAUUAUUAAGUCACUGAGGUACACUGACCGUCGGUCUUCUCAUCUAUAAAACAAACUGGCCCAUGGUAGUGAACACUGUUGCUUGAGCCUGUGUGGCCACGUUCUUUUCAUUACAGCCUGAUUGAACUUGGAAUGGAUGUUGGUCCCAUUGAAUGUUGAGAUGAUUAUGACCCUGGCUGACACCUUGAUUGCAGCCUUGCAACAAACCUUGAAACAGAACAUAGCUAAGCUGUGCCCAGAUUCCUGACCCAGGGAAACUCUGAAAUAACUGUGUGGUGUUUUAAGCUACUAAAUUUUGGGAGUUGUUACACAGCAAUACAACUAUUGCAAGAUGAGGUUUCCCAGAUGUCAGAUUUUAAUAACCUGCCCCAAAUCACACAAUGGAAGAUUCAAACCCCCAUCUACAAGGUGAUUUGUUUUACUGCCCAGUCCUCCCUCUUGGCAGCCUCCAGCGCAGGUGAACACUGGGCUGCGGGCCACUGUUAGACGCAGUGCUGUUAUUAAGACCCCGCUAAUCACACCUCCCCCAGCAGUGGUGGUGAAGCCAUCCAUGACCAUACUCACCCCAGAGGGGAGAGAGCCUUUUCAGCUGGGCUCCAUGAAUAGAGCUCUGUAGAAAAGGGUGUUUAAAUAAUUUUUGUCACUUUUCCCAAAGUGACAAAAGUUCAUACACACACACACGCACUUAUAGAUGCACAUGAGCAAAGUUACAUAUAUAAUGCAUGCCUUAGGGUAUCAGGGCUGUCCAGCUGGGCAGGCCGCCUCAGGCAGGGCCCAGGAGAGCCCUCAUGGGCAGGAGACACAAAGGACCUGGAGAGUCAGAGGUGAAGGGAACGAGCAAGGGGCAGAACUGGGAUACUGAUCAGGACUUUGGAGAGGCAGCACGGUGCAAUUGAAAGAGUGGACACCUCAGACCUGAAUCUUUGGGGCCUGCUGGCUCCAGGCCCCGUUGAGUCGUGCCUCCCUGGGCAGGUGACUCAGCUCUCCGAGCUUCAAUUUACUCUGCUGUAAAACUAUAGUACUCGUGCUUUCAGUUUUUCCCUAGCUUGAUGUUUCUAAGCCUUCAGAUUGCGGAAUAACAGCAACUACCACACUGUUACUGCUCCCACUGACUAGUUCCUGAGUGCUUACUGUGCGCCUGGCACUGUACAAAGCACUCUAUGCCUAUGGUCUCAACUCACGACAGCCUCAUUUUCCAUUGAGAAAGCUGGAACUCGCAAACAUGAACAAUCACUGGUCCUGAACAAUUGCUCACUGUCAGUGGUUGGUGUAAGGGCUUCAAGUUGUCACUACAACACACAGCCUGGCACAGAGCAGGUGCCAGUGAGUGCCGAAUUCCUCCUUAUGGCAGCAGAUCAGUGUGCUGCAACAUGGUCCAACUGCCUGGAUGGCAGAAGAGUCCAAGAGGCAUAACUUGGACGCUUUGUGCCCAAACAGUGUCAUCCUCAGGAGAGCCUGUGGACUGUCUGAGGGUCUCUUCUGAGGGUGUGUGUGGGCUGUUAGCAGCAUUCUCUGUUGGGCACGGCUCCCUAAACUCUGGGUGGCCUCUGCAGACAGAGCCCAGUCUAUUGCCCCAGCAUGUGGGAAGUACAAGGCCAGAAUUUUGGAACACAUUGUGGGGAGAGGUACUCAACAGGGCUGUGAAGAGCAAGAUCUCAGCAGGACCAUUGACUCCUUAAGGUCAAAUAACGAUCCAGAAAACACAGUUGAGUUGUGUAUUAGUCCAUUUUCAUACUGCUGCCCGAGACUGGGGAAUUUACAAAAGAAAGAGGUUUAAUUGGACUUAAAGUUCCACGUGGCUGGGGAAGCCUCACAAUCAUGGUAGAAGGUAAGGAGGAAGAAGUCAACAUCUUAAAUGGAUGGCAACAGGCGAAGAUAAAGUUUGUGCAGGGAAACCCAUUUUUAAAACCAUCAGAUCUCUCAUUAUCGCAAGAACAUUUCAGGAAAGACCUGCCCUUUCUUGGGGGAACUGCUUCUCUACGUUCAACAUAGUCCUGUGGGUAUGUGGUGGGGGGAGGGUGUUGGAGACUGCUGGUGAAGGAGUCCUGCCUUCCUCAGCCAGCAGAUGGGAAUGUAACCUGAGCCAAUCAGGCCCCUGUCCUGGAGCUGGAUUAUGUAUGGGACAGUUUAAAAUCUGCAAAAGGCAGGAACCAGCCCUUCCCAAGAGCAGAGACACCUGGAGCCAGUGCUGGGGCUGUCUGAUCCUUGGCCCCCAAAAGGCUGCAGCACCUCAGUGGCUUUCCUUUUCACUGUAAGGGGUGAGGGUUAGUGUUUGCUACUUGCUGCCCACGUGCCCUAAGACCCCCAGAGGAUCAUCUGGGUGUUCUUGCUUUCCAUGUGUCCCUUCCCCGUAAGUGAGGUCUUUGUUACCUGCUUUGAGCAUUUCUAAAACAAAGUGGUAAAACAAAUGAAUACAUUUAA
Long non-coding RNA from Sapajus apella (tufted capuchin), 7092 nucleotides. RefSeq lists it as uncharacterized. NCBI's taxonomy places the organism in Eukaryota, Metazoa, Chordata, Mammalia, Primates, Cebidae. The record is from RefSeq and is a predicted model, not a curated record. The transcript is spliced from 2 exons.